Molecule: unclassified non-coding RNA, 240 nt
Filed under: soil metagenome
Description: partial contains 5.8S ribosomal RNA, internal transcribed spacer 2, and large subunit ribosomal RNA
Source: RNAcentral
AACCAUAGAAACCUGCGGAGUACCUGCGGAGGGAUCAUUAACGAGUUAGGGUCGUUCUGGCCCAGACUUCCAACCCUUUGCUUACCACACCAUGUUGCUUUGGCGGGUCCGCCCUUAAAAAUUAGGGGCCGCCGGAGGUUUUUUUUAGAGCCUCUGGUCCGUACCCGCCAGUAGCCUUUAUUAAAUUCUUUUUUAAACUGUGUCGUCUGAGUGGCAUUUUUAAAAUCGUUUUAAAACUUU